RNAcentral lists this ribosomal RNA (468 nucleotides) under uncultured bacterium. RNAcentral's name for it is "partial 16S ribosomal RNA". It matches the Rfam family "Bacterial small subunit ribosomal RNA", at positions 28 to 507 of the family's 1533-position model. The record is from RNAcentral.
GACGAACGCUGGCGGCGUGCUUAACACAUGCAAGUCGAACGGAAAGGCCCUGCUUUUGUUGGGUGCUCGAGUGGCGAACGGGUGAGUAACACGUGAGUAACCUGCCCUUGACUUUGGGAUAACUUCAGGAAACUUGGGCUAAUACCGGAUAGGAGCUCCUGCUGCAUGGUGGGGGUUGGAAAGUUUCGGCGGUUGGGGAUGGACUCGCGGCUUAUCAGCUUGUUGGUGGGGUAGUGGCUUACCAAGGCUUUGACGGGUAGCCGGCCUGAGACGGUGACCGGACACAUUGGGACUGAGAUAAGGCCCAGAGUCCUACGGGAGGCAGCAGUGGGGAAUAUUGCACAAUGGGCGGAAGCGUGAUGCAGAAACGCAGCGUGCGGGAUGACGGCCUUCGGGUUGUAAACCGCUUUGGCAUGUGACGAAGCGUGAGUGACGAUAAUGGGUAAAGAAGCAACGGCUAACUACGUG